RNAcentral lists this ribosomal RNA (387 nucleotides) under uncultured bacterium. RNAcentral's name for it is "bacterial SSU rRNA". It matches the Rfam family "Bacterial small subunit ribosomal RNA", at positions 32 to 399 of the family's 1533-position model. The record is from RNAcentral.
AAUCAACGCUGGCGGCGUGCCUCAGACAUGCAAGUCGAACGAGAAAGUUCCCUUCGGGGAAUGAGUAAAGUGGCGCACGGGUGAGUAACACGUAGGUAAUCUACCUUCGGGUGGGGAAUAACCCAGGGAAACUUGGGCUAACACCGCAUAAUGCAGCGGCACCACAUGGUGACAGUUGUUAAAGCGGGGGAUUUUAGGACCUCGCGCCUGAAGAGGAGCCUGCGGCGGAUUAGCUGUUGGUAAGGUAACGGCUUACCAAGGCGACGAUCCGUAGCCGGCCUGAGAGGGCGGUCGGCCACACUGACACUGACAUACGGGUCAGACUCCUACGGGAGGCAGCAGUCGGGAAUUUUGGGCAAUGGGCGAAAGCCUGGCCCAGCAACGCCG